RNAcentral lists this long non-coding RNA (827 nucleotides) under Gouania willdenowi (blunt-snouted clingfish). RNAcentral's name for it is "lncRNA (ENSGWIG00000025035.1)". The record is from RNAcentral. Lineage: Eukaryota; Metazoa; Chordata; Actinopteri; Blenniiformes; Gobiesocidae.
CGCUUCUUUGGCUCCCGUGUGUGUGUUGACAUACCUGCGCUCUGUAAUUUACCUGUGUGUGUGUGUGUGUGUGUGUCUGUGAGUGUGUGUGUGUGUCUUGUUGACAUACUUUGUGGCUCUAAGUACAUGUGUAUGUUUUCACAGUGUUUCCUUUCUUCGCCGACGACCAAACAAGCGCGCCUCUCUUGAACAUGACAGCUCGCCCUCCAGGGCCGAAGAGCGAGGAAGAGGAGGGAACGUUGGAGGAACCAAAGCCUCUCAGAGCUGAGCGAUGGAGCGCUGACAGAGCCGAGGGAGAAGAAGAAACUAACCGAUGUCCAGGACAGGUCUGGGUGAGCAGAAGCUGAUUGGUCGUCUUGUAGGCCGGGGUCCCCCGUUGCCAUGGGAAUGUCCAUCUCCUGAGACCGAAUUGGAUGCUCCAAAGGGCCAGAUUUGGCCCCUAGGCCUUGAGUUUGACACGUGUGUCAGAGGUCAGAGCGAUCAUCUAAAGAGCUUUGAUAUGAUUGGCUGGUGUCGCUAUAGGAGCAGCUGAUUGGAGGAUCCUCACUUCAUCUUCAUCAUCUUCCUCCUCCUCAUGUGAGAUGACGUCCAUUAAUCAUCAGUUUCUCCUUUUCAACUUAUUUCUGUUUCUCAGUUUAACACUUUAUUCACAUUUUUUUUAUUUUUACUUUUUUUAAACUUGUGCCCGUUUUUUAUCUUUUAAAAAAAUCUAUUUUUUUGUUUUGUUUUUCUAUUUUUAAUCUUUUUUUAAAUUCCAUUUUAGCUUUUUUUCAUGUUUUGUUUCAUCAUUUUAUUAUUUGUAAAUAAUAAAAGAACAAGUGAAAUCA